This 1352-nucleotide ribosomal RNA is filed under the name uncultured bacterium. RNAcentral's name for it is "bacterial SSU rRNA". It matches the Rfam family "Bacterial small subunit ribosomal RNA", at positions 28 to 1381 of the family's 1533-position model. The record is from RNAcentral.
AUUGAACGCUGGCGGCAUGCCUUACACAUGCAAGUCGAACGGCAGCACGGAGCUUGCUCUGGUGGCGAGUGGCGAACGGGUGAGUAAUAUAUCGGAACGUACCCUAGAGUGGGGGAUAACGUAGCGAAAGUUACGCUAAUACCGCAUACGAUCUAAGGAUGAAAGUGGGGGAUCGCAAGACCUCAUGCUCGUGGAGCGGCCGAUAUCUGAUUAGCUAGUUGGUAGGGUAAAAGCCUACCAAGGCAUCGAUCAGUAGCUGGUCUGAGAGGACGACCAGCCACACUGGAACUGAGACACGGUCCAGACUCCUACGGGAGGCAGCAGUGGGGAAUUUUGGACAAUGGGCGAAAGCCUGAUCCAGCAAUGCCGCGUGAGUGAAGAAGGCCUUCGGGUUGUAAAGCUCUUUUGUCAGGGAAGAAACGGUGAGAGCUAAUAUCUCUUGCUAAUGACGGUACCUGAAGAAUAAGCACCGGCUAACUACGUGCCAGCAGCCGCGGUAAUACGUAGGGUGCAAGCGUUAAUCGGAAUUACUGGGCGUAAAGCGUGCGCAGGCGGUUUUGUAAGUCUGAUGUGAAAUCCCCGGGCUCAACCUGGGAAUUGCAUUGGAGACUGCAAGGCUAGAAUCUGGCAGAGGGGGGUAGAAUUCCACGUGUAGCAGUGAAAUGCGUAGAUAUGUGGAGGAACACCGAUGGCGAAGGCAGCCCCCUGGGUCAAGAUUGACGCUCAUGCACGAAAGCGUGGGGAGCAAACAGGAUUAGAUACCCUGGUAGUCCACGCCCUAAACGAUGUCUACUAGUUGUCGGGUCUUAAUUGACUUGGUAACGCAGCUAACGCGUGAAGUAGACCGCCUGGGGAGUACGGUCGCAAGAUUAAAACUCAAAGGAAUUGACGGGGACCCGCACAAGCGGUGGAUGAUGUGGAUUAAUUCGAUGCAACGCGAAAAACCUUACCUACCCUUGACAUGGCUGGAAUCCCCGAGAGAUUGGGGAGUGCUCGAAAGAGAACCAGUACACAGGUGCUGCAGGGCUGUCGUCAGCUCGUGUCGUGAGAUGUUGGGUUAAGUCCCGCAACGAGCGCAACCCUUGUCAUUAGUUGCUACGAAAGGGCACUCUAAUGAGACUGCCGGUGACAAACCGGAGGAAGGUGGGGAUGACGUCAAGUCCUCAUGGCCCUUAUGGGUAGGGCUUCACACGUCAUACAAUGGUACAUACAGAGCGCCGCCAACCCGCGAGGGGGAGCUAAUCGCAGAAAGUGUAUCGUAGUCCGGAUUGUAGUCUGCAACUCGACUGCAUGAAGUUGGAAUCGCUAGUAAUCGCGGAUCAGCAUGUCGCGGUGAAUACGUUCCCGGGUCU